RNAcentral lists this ribosomal RNA (1372 nucleotides) under uncultured bacterium. Its description in RNAcentral is "bacterial SSU rRNA". It matches the Rfam family "Bacterial small subunit ribosomal RNA", at positions 28 to 1381 of the family's 1533-position model. The record is from RNAcentral.
GAUGAACGCUGGCGGCGUGCCUAAUACAUGCAAGUCGAGCGAACGGACGAGAAGCUUGCUUCUCUGAUGUUAGCGGCGGACGGGUGAGUAACACGUGGAUAACCUACCUAUAAGACUGGGAUAACUUCGGGAAACCGGAGCUAAUACCGGAUAAUAUUUUGAACCGCAUGGUUCAAAAGUGAAAGACGGUCUUGCUGUCACUUAUAGAUGGAUCCGCGCUGCAUUAGCUAGUUGGUAAGGUAACGGCUUACCAAGGCAACGAUGCAUAGCCGACCUGAGAGGGUGAUCGGCCACACUGGAACUGAGACACGGUCCAGACUCCUACGGGAGGCAGCAGUAGGAAAUCUUCCGCAAUGGGCGAAAGCCUGACGGAGCAACGCCGCGUGAGUGAUGAAGGUCUUCGGAUCGUAAAACUCUGUUAUUAGGGAAGAACAUAUGUGUAAGUAACUGUGCACAUCUUGACGGUACCUAAUCAGAAAGCCACGGCUAACUACGUGCCAGCAGCCGCGGUAAUACGUAGGUGGCAAGCGUUAUCCGGAAUUAUUGGGCGUAAAGCGCGCGUAGGCGGUUUUUUAAGUCUGAUGUGAAAGCCCACGGCUCAACCGUGGAGGGUCAUUGGAAACUGGAAAACUUGAGUGCAGAAGAGGAAAGUGGAAUUCCAUGUGUAGCGGUGAAAUGCGCAGAGAUAUGGAGGAACACCAGUGGCGAAGGCGACUUUCUGGUCUGUAACUGACGCUGAUGUGCGAAAGCGUGGGGAUCAAACAGGAUUAGAUACCCUGGUAGUCCACGCCGUAAACGAUGAGUGCUAAGUGUUAGGGGGUUUCCGCCCCUUAGUGCUGCAGCUAACGCAUUAAGCACUCCGCCUGGGGAGUACGACCGCAAGGUUGAAACUCAAAGGAAUUGACGGGGACCCGCACAAGCGGUGGAGCAUGUGGUUUAAUUCGAAGCAACGCGAAGAACCUUACCAAAUCUUGACAUCCUUUGACAACUCUAGAGAUAGAGCCUUCCCCUUCGGGGGACAAAGUGACAGGUGGUGCAUGGUUGUCGUCAGCUCGUGUCGUGAGAUGUUGGGUUAAGUCCCGCAACGAGCGCAACCCUUAAGCUUAGUUGCCAUCAUUAAGUUGGGCACUCUAAGUUGACUGCCGGUGACAAACCGGAGGAAGGUGGGGAUGACGUCAAAUCAUCAUGCCCCUUAUGAUUUGGGCUACACACGUGCUACAAUGGACAAUACAAAGGGCAGCGAAACCGCGAGGUCAAGCAAAUCCCAUAAAGUUGUUCUCAGUUCGGAUUGUAGUCUGCAACGCGACUACAUGAAGCUGGAAUCGCUAGUAAUCGUAGAUCAGCAUGCUACGGUGAAUACGUUCCCGGGUCU